Long non-coding RNA from Oreochromis aureus, 2445 nucleotides. RefSeq lists it as uncharacterized. The record is from RefSeq and is a predicted model, not a curated record. Lineage: Eukaryota; Metazoa; Chordata; Actinopteri; Cichliformes; Cichlidae. The transcript is spliced from 7 exons.
CAGACGACACACACUGGCUGCUGAUGGUCCAGACAGAAGAGUUUGAGUUUCUCAGAGUGCAGACUGCAGAGAGUCUCUGAAGCUCUCUCCAACAGUCUUUACAGAAGCUGUGGCUACAUGACAGAAGAACAGGAUCUCUGAAGACCUCCCGACAGACCGGACAGCAGAGAUCCUCCUCUGAUCUGGAAGCCAUUGAGUCUGUGAGUGAAGCUGAAAACAGCAGACAGGAAGUACAGUCAGUCCUGGCUCCCCUCCCUCCUCUACGACCUUCACUGAAACUUCCUUUGAGUCGUGUUUUUGCUCAAACUCACAUUCAGUGUGUGGAGCGUCAGCAGCUUGAAGCAGCAGUGUUGGAGUUUUCCACUUUUCUCUCCUGUAGCUGGACUCACUCAGAGGAAGCUGCUAGUUUGGUCUGAACUCAGUCAGGUCGGCUGGGCGUCUCUCUUUACUGAUGACGAAGACCGGACAAUUUCCUGGUUUGUUGCGUUUUAAACACGUGGGGGGGCGGAGCUUCAUUCAACGUCCUCUUAUAAAUGUAAGAGCUCGCCCCGCCCGCAGACUGUGGACCAAUAGGAGAGCUGGCCAGCUGUAGACUACCAAUCGCCUGUCGACGGAAGUUGCGUCACCAGAAAACAACGGCACCAUCGCUCAGUGUUGCCAACUCCUCAUGGCGACACCAGAAAUACGAGUUGUUAAUCCAGAUGCCCGUGCACACCGUCACUCGGCCCUACUUAAGACAACCAAAGAGGCUCGUUAGUACCGGGUGAGAAGUUUGGUCUUCCCCAAACCUCCACUGGAGCUGCUCAGCCAAAUCACUGCAUUGACUCACGCAGAGAAGCUUCUCCGAGCAGAGGGUAUCCACGUCACGUCAGCAGUGUCUGGGAGAGCUGGUGGUGCCAUUAGGACAAUAUGAAAAGGCACCGCUUCGAUGGCUCGUUACAAACGAUGUGGGAUAAAUGAAGUAAUGUACUAAAGGCCCAACACUCCUCGUCUGCAAGUUAACCUCUGGAGUGAAGUCUGACAAGUCUUUUUGUGGCACUCUGCUGGAGUGUGAAAGUGCUCCUUGAAGUAUCCUCAAGCUGAUAAGUGGACAGGUAAAAGAGCAUGUGCGGAGGGUCACACUGACACCUCGGGAAACAUUUUGGAUCAUCCAUUUGGUUAUUGAGGAGCUGAAAGUUCCAGCUGGGCUGGAUGAGGGUGGAGUGAGUCUCUUCAAAACACCUGGGCUCCCUGUUGAGAUGUGGGCAGCACAGCAGUGACACCUGGAGUGCAUUCAGGACCCAGCAGACACAAACAUGUACAGGGUGGCUACCACAAGAAAAAACAACGUGGAUGUUCCCGAUUAAAAAUGUCUGCGUGGAAGCAACAGCCUGGAAGGUUUUCACGAAUUACUUCCUAACAUGAUUCCAGGUAUACGGCUGUAAUCUGUAUACUUGUGACAGAAGUGGCAGAGGAGGAAAAGUGGGUUCGUGGCUUGGCUGGAGUUCAGCAAUUUAAUCACAGCUCAGUGAGGGACAUCAAUGAGUGGCAUUGCGAGGUGGAACUCUGACAGGAGCUCAGAUGCUGUAUUUGGUGGUAAAUGAUUUACUCUGCAGCUCUGAUCAGUCGCCUCAACACUCGCUGUCAGCAGCUGUUUGGAGAACCUGUAGAAGUAAACAUCUGUGGCCCAGCUGAUCUCACAUUCACUGAAUUAUUCAGACUGGAGUACUUGUUCAGCCAGAGCAGAGGAGACUCUGUAAUUUUCUCUCUGUAGGACAUCGUCAGUGAUGGACCUGGUCCUGGGGAGGAGGUGGUUUAGCCUGAGCAACCCGAGCCAGAUGAUCCCGAUGAAACAUUGCAGAGUGACGAGGAGGCACGCGACACUGCUGGAUGCUGUCCUUCCCCACAUUACUCUCACCAUUGAUAACCUCCACUGUGAGCGAAUCCAGCAUCGUGUUGUGGUGGAAGAUGCGCUUCUUUGUAAAAUAAACAUCAAGACUGUGCAGGACUUCAACCAUCAGCAAGAAACUAUCCUCAAUCUGCAUGCAACAAAACAUACAUAGGAUUGAGUGCAUGAAUAAGUUCCUGAAUCCUUUAUCAUCUACAGCUAAAAAUGGUUGGAAAUCAAGUGCAAUCAUUUUGGUCGGGUCUUUAUCAAUUAAGUCCUGUCUUGCUGGGGUCACAGACUUCUGCAGAAACUUUCUCAUAGGGCUCUGGGUUGGUUUAGGUGGUUGUGGUGGUAUACUGCAUGAUGCUGUAGAUACUGCAGCAGCUACAGUUGCAAUAGACACACUGGCGCCUUCAUUAAUAUCACACUCAUGUCACUGUGUUUUAUCCUCCUAGUGCACUGAUGGGUGGACUGUUCUCAGGUCUCUGUGCAGGUUGUUUGAGUUCUAUGUGAUGUCCUUUUCUUGCACACUCUACACUCUGCCGUUGUAUUGUCAAUAAAAUUGAAGUGGUUUCAGA